Molecule: transfer RNA, 68 nt
Filed under: bovine gut metagenome
Rfam family: tRNA
About the family: Transfer RNA (tRNA) molecules are approximately 80 nucleotides in length. Their secondary structure includes four short double-helical elements and three loops (D, anti-codon, and T loops).
Source: RNAcentral
CCAAGUAGCUCAGUUGGUUAGAGCGCCGGCCUGUCACGCCGGAGGUCGAGGGUUCGAGCCCCUUCUUG